AUGUUUGAGGAGUUUGGUCGCCUGCUGAUUGAAGGGAUGUCGUACAAUGUGAAGGAAGUAGAGAAGAUGAGGAAAUAUGUUGCAACACACAACAAUGCAGCCAAAAGAGAUAAAUGGAGCAGAGUGGAGUGUGAGGUGAACAUAAAUGAAGAUCAAUCAGAGUUUAUAUGUGAAUGUGGCCAUUUCGAGCAUACUGGGAUGCUAUGCAGCCAUGUUUUAAGGGUGAUGGAUAUACUUCAUCUGGAGGAAAUCCCUGUGAAACACAUACUCAAGCGGUGGAACACGGACGCGAGGGACAUACUUCUUCAACAUCUGGUGCAUGACCAGAAGGACCAUUCAGUGAACUUAUCCUUCACUUGCAGGAGCUCGAUGCUAUACCAGAAAGCCAUGGAAGUUGAACAGAUGGGCGAUGCUAGUGCAGAAUCAUUCGAGCACACGUUUGCUGGCCUGGAAGCUUUGUUGGUGAGUGGCGCACCUUUAGCACAGAAGAGGGAUGGUUCGGGCUUUGAGGACCUUAUGGCAAGUUUGGGCAGUGGUAGAUUUCCUGGAAAUGGGAGGCUGUGUUUGUUGGGGGCAACGGGCCUGACCAAUGCAAUAGUGGUGGGCACUCUGUUAGUGUGA
This 621-nucleotide ribosomal RNA is filed under the name Triticum aestivum (bread wheat). Its description in RNAcentral is "partial small subunit ribosomal RNA". The record is from RNAcentral. Lineage: Eukaryota; Viridiplantae; Streptophyta; Magnoliopsida; Poales; Poaceae.